RNAcentral lists this ribosomal RNA (484 nucleotides) under uncultured bacterium. RNAcentral's name for it is "partial 16S ribosomal RNA". It matches the Rfam family "Bacterial small subunit ribosomal RNA", at positions 30 to 507 of the family's 1533-position model. The record is from RNAcentral.
AUUGAACGCUGGCGGCAGGCCUAACACAUGCAAGUCGAGCGGAUGAAGGGAGCUUGCUCCUGGAUUCAGCGGCGGACGGGUGAGUAAUGCCUAGGAAUCUGCCUGGUAGUGGGGGAUAACGUCCGGAAACGGGCGCUAAUACCGCAUACGUCCUGAGGGAGAAAGUGGGGGAUCUUCGGAUCUCACGCUAUCAGAUGAGCCUAGGUCGGAUUAGCUAGUUGGUGGGGUAAAGGCCUACCAAGGCGACGAUCCGUAACUGGCCUGAGAGGAUGAUCAGUCACACUGGAACUGAGACACGGUCCAGACUCCUACGGGAGGCAGCAGUGGGGAAUAUUGGACAAUGGGCGAAAGCCUGAUCCAGCCAUGCCGCGUGUGUGAAGAAGGUCUUCGGAUUGUAAAGCACUUUAAGUUGGGAGGAAGGGCAGUAAGUUAAUACCUUGCUGUUUUGACGUUACCAACAGAAUAAGCACCGGCUAACUUCGUG